RNAcentral lists this ribosomal RNA (460 nucleotides) under uncultured bacterium. RNAcentral describes it as "partial 16S ribosomal RNA". It matches the Rfam family "Bacterial small subunit ribosomal RNA", at positions 338 to 795 of the family's 1533-position model. The record is from RNAcentral.
CCUACGGGUGGCUGCAGUGAGGAAUAUUGGUCAAUGGUCGCGAGCCUGAACCAGCCAAGCCGCGUGAAGGAUGACUGUCCAACGGGUCGUAAACCUCUUUUGUCAGGGAAUAAAGUCUGGCACGCGUCCCCUUUUGUGUGUACCUUAUGAACCAGCAUCGGCUAACUCCGUGCCAGCAGCCGCGGUAAUACGGAGGAUCCGAGCGUUAUCCGGAUUUAUUGGGUUUAAAGGGUGCGCAGGGGGGUUGUUAAGUCAGCUGUCAAAGCCCGGGGCUCAACCCCGGGACUGCAGUUGAUAUUGGCAGUCUGGAGUGCGGGAGAGGUAGGCGGAAUGCGUGGUGUAGCGGUGAAAUGCAUAGAUAUCGCGAAGAACUCCGAUUGCGAAGGCAGCAUGCCGGAUUGAAACUGACGCUGAGGCACGAAAGCGUGGGUAUCGAACAGGAUUAGAUACCCGGGUAGUC